AUCUUCAACUCAGAAGCACCAGUCUCUCUCAUUUGAGAAAAGGAUGAGAAGGAAGGAAUGGCCUGACUUCCUCAUGUGUGCCCUGAUUCUUGGUAGGCACCAUGUUGGGGCUGCCACACAUGUGCUGAAGCUUUGGGAAUGUUCCAUUUAAAUACCGAUUUCAAGGCCAAUGCCUUACAUGGAGCACAAAUAUCCAGGCUUUUAAUAUGCAUUGUCAAAUUUCUUUCCAAAAAGAGUGCAGUCUUCAGACAUACAGAACUGUUCAGGAGUUUUCCAACGGAGGACGAAUCCUAGCAUAUGUCACAAGAAGCUUGACAUGGAAAGGACUCUACAUCCAUUAGGCUUAAUCAACAUCCUACAUCCA
Molecule: long non-coding RNA, 364 nt
Filed under: Cercocebus atys (sooty mangabey)
Lineage: Eukaryota; Metazoa; Chordata; Mammalia; Primates; Cercopithecidae
Description: lncRNA (ENSCATG00000045670.1)
Source: RNAcentral